Molecule: RNA transcript, 922 nt
Organism: Odobenus rosmarus divergens (Pacific walrus)
Lineage: Eukaryota; Metazoa; Chordata; Mammalia; Carnivora; Odobenidae
Gene name: olfactory receptor 140-like
Exons: 1
Source: RefSeq, a predicted model, not a curated record
AUGGAUCGCCUCACACUUCCCAACAACGUGACUGAAUUUAUUCUCUUGGGACUCACGCAGAAUCCACACUUGCAGAAAAAUACUCUUCGUGGUCUUUUUGUUAAUUUUUCUAUUUACUGUGCUGGCCAAUCUGCUCAUUGUCAUUACCAUCUCCCUCAGCCCCACACUUUCGGCUCCCAUGUAUUUCUUUCUCACUUACUUGUCCUUUAUAGAUGCCUCCUACCUCUAUGACCACCCCAAAAUGAUCAUCGGCCUGCUGUACCAGAGGAGAACCAUCUCCUUCGGUGGCUGCCUGACUCAGCUCUUCGUGGAGCACUUCCUGGGAGGAUCAGAGAUCAUCCUCCUCAUUGUCAUGGCCUAUGAUCGCUAUGUAGCCAUCGGCAAGCCCCUGCACUACACGACAGUCAUGCGACAGGGGCUCUGCCACCUCCUGGUAGUGGUGGCCUGGAUAGGGGGGAUCCUGCAUGCCACUGUGCAGAUCCUUUUCAUGGUCAACUUGCCCUUCUGUGGUCCAAAUGUUAUUGACCACUUCAUGUGUGAUCUCUUCCCUCUGCUGAAACUUGCCUGCAGCAACACCUACGGUUUUGGAAUGAUGGUGGCGGCCAACAGUGGGGCCAUGUGCUUGCUCAUUUUUUCCAUGCUACUCAUCUCCUACGUAGUCAUCCUGAGCUCCCUGAAAUCCCAUGGCUCUGAAGGUCGGCACAAAGCCCUCUCAACAUGUGGCUCCCACUUUACUGUAGUUGUACUCUUUUUUGUGCCUUGUAUAUUCACCUAUAUGCGUCCUGUGGUCACCUACCCUGUGGACAAGUUGGUGACUGUCUUCUUUGCAAUCCUCACUCCCAUGUUAAAUCCUAUUAUUUACACCCUGAGAAACACAGAGGUGAAAAAUGCCAUGAGGAGUUUGUUGAAGAGGAUAACUUAG